CUUUCACUUCCGCAGGGCUCAGCAUCCCCGGGGCCUCAACCCCUUAUCCAUCCUUGGCGCUCCUCGCAGUAAGCCCUCUCCUCAGGGCCCCGGCCCUCUACCUCCAGGCCCU
Molecule: unclassified non-coding RNA, 112 nt
Organism: Microcebus murinus (gray mouse lemur)
Lineage: Eukaryota; Metazoa; Chordata; Mammalia; Primates; Cheirogaleidae
Source: Ensembl